This 463-nucleotide long non-coding RNA is filed under the name Monodelphis domestica (gray short-tailed opossum). RNAcentral describes it as "lncRNA (ENSMODG00000045875.1)". The record is from RNAcentral. Lineage: Eukaryota; Metazoa; Chordata; Mammalia; Didelphimorphia; Didelphidae.
UACCUUUCACUACCUGGAAGGAAUGCUUUUAUUUGCAUAGUACUAAGUUCUUCCAUGUAAGAACAUAACAAUUUACUUGACAAAGUAAUUGCAUCAAUAAUAUGACUGCAUCUAUGAAGGAUUUUAUUUUCAUUUCAGUGUGGGACUACAUGAUCUUUGGUACUAAAGAACUAUUACAGAAAAUGCAAACUAGAGAGAUGACUUCUAAUGCUCUCUACCCAUCCCCUCUGAAGAAGAAUGUAGCCUCCUGGGACAGACUGGGAUUGGCAGGGUUUACCUCAGUCUCUAGGCCCUAGAGUCUAGGGACUAUGAUUUACCCUAGAGAAGAGGCUGGAAACUGCAGCAGUAACAAAUGUUUAAAAAACCUUGUUUUCAGAAGAAAAAUAACUCUUUAUACCUCACGUUAUUUUGCCAUACGUUCAAAACACAGGACAAUUGUCUUUCUCUUCCACACCUCUGAGAA